CGAGGAGCGGGGUCUGAAGUCUUUGGUUGGUCACACACACAUGCAUCUACCGUUGGAUUGCGUUGAACCGAAUCUACACAUCUCUCUCGAUCCACCAUGAUUUUUCUGCUAUCGCGCUCAUCCGGGUGUUAGACAUCCUCAGUCUGUCCAGAACUGUCCCUAUGGAAGGAUGUACUGAAGUAAGGUGUGGUUUCUUGUGCGACGUUCUUUGUUCAUUUACGUUUUGUGCCGGGUUCCUUCUUGCUCAGUAAUGGAAUGAUUUAUCCUAGCAAAUUGUUGAGGUGUGUGCGCUAUUUAUCAACGACUACCUGCUAGCCUCGUCAACAAUCUUCGAAGUGAGCGACGGAAAGAAAACGUUUUCCAGUUUUAAAAUAUUAAGCCCCCGGUGAGGACAUCAUUACUUAACAGAAGCCGAUUCAACACGCGCAGCUCCUGUUCAUGACGUCAUCACGAAACUGAAGCCAGCUGAACACGCGCAGCACGGAUGGUACCCCGAGCGCGGUAGGAGGAAGGAAGAACGAGAGGAGGAAGAACGGUAAAUUUGGAAGGGGGUAAGCGUUCUGCCGUCUACACAGCGGGAGUAUCCCAAAACACAUGUGGUAAGGGAGAGGGAUAUUAUUCAAUAAACAGCAUGCGAAUGUGUGCAUAAAGCAAA
Long non-coding RNA from Anopheles arabiensis, 655 nucleotides. RefSeq lists it as uncharacterized. The record is from RefSeq and is a predicted model, not a curated record. Lineage: Eukaryota; Metazoa; Arthropoda; Insecta; Diptera; Culicidae. The transcript has 3 exons.